RNAcentral lists this ribosomal RNA (480 nucleotides) under uncultured bacterium. Its description in RNAcentral is "partial 16S ribosomal RNA". It matches the Rfam family "Bacterial small subunit ribosomal RNA", at positions 28 to 523 of the family's 1533-position model. The record is from RNAcentral.
GACGAACGCUGGCGGCGUGCUUAACACAUGCAAGUCGAACGAUGAAGUUCCUUCGGGAAUGGAUUAGUGGCGAACGGGUGAGAAACACGUGAGAAACCUGCCUUUCAUUUUGGGAUAACUCCGGGAAACCGGAGCUAACACCGAAUACUCCGUCUCGGCGGCAUCGCUGAGCCGGGAAAAAAUUUUGAUGAAAGAUGGUCUCGCGGCCUAUCAGCUAGUUGGUGAGGUAAUGGCUCACCAAGGCGACGACGGGUAGCCGGCCUGAGAGGGCGACCGGCCACACUGGGACUGAGACACGGCCCAGACUCCUACGGGAGGCAGCAGUGGGGAAUAUUGGGCAAUGGGCGCAAGCCUGACCCAGCGACGCCGCGUGAGGGAUGAAGGCCUUCGGGUUGUAAACCUCUUUCAGUAGGGAAGAAGCGAAAGUGACGGUACCUAAAGAAGAAGCACCGGCUAACUAUGUGCCAGCCGCCGCCGUAA